Molecule: ribosomal RNA, 877 nt
Filed under: uncultured bacterium
Lineage: Bacteria
Description: bacterial SSU rRNA
Rfam family: Bacterial small subunit ribosomal RNA
Source: RNAcentral
AGAGUUUGAUCCUGGCUCAGGAUGAACGCUGGCGGCGUGCUUAACACAUGCAAGUCGAACGAUGAAGCCCAGCUUGCUGGGUGGAUUAGUGGCGAACGGGUGAGUAACACGUGAGUAACCUGCCCCCGACUCUGGGAUAAGCCCGGGAAACUGGGUCUAAUACCGGAUAUGACCUCUUGCCGCAUGGCAGGUGGUGGAAAGAUUUAUCGGUGGGGGAUGGACUCGCGGCCUAUCAGCUUGUUGGUGAGGUAAUGGCUCACCAAGGCGACGACGGGUAGCCGGCCUGGGAGGGUGACCGGCCACACUGGGACUGAGACACGGCCCAGACUCCUACGGGAGGCAGCAGUGGGGAAUAUUGCACAAUGGGCGAAAGCCUGAUGCAGCGACGCCGCGUGAGGGAUGACGGCCUUCGGGUUGUAAACCUCUUUCAGUAGGGAAGAAGCGAAAGUGACGGUACCUGCAGAAGAAGCGCCGGCUAACUACGUGCCAGCAGCCGCGGUAAUACGUAGGGCGCAAGCGUUAUCCGGAUUUAUUGGGCGUAAAGAGCUCGUAGGCGGUUUGUCGCGUCUGCCGUGAAAGUCCGAGGCUCAACCUCGGAUCUGCGGUGGGUACGGGCAGACUAGAGUGAUGUAGGGGAGACUGGAAUUCCUGGUGUAGCGGUGAAAUGCGCAGAUAUCAGGAGGAACACCGAUGGCGAAGGCAGGUCUCUGGGCAUUUACUGACGCUGAGGAGCGAAAGCAUGGGGAGCGAACAGGAUUAGAUACCCUGGUAGUCCAUGCCGUAAACGUUGGGCACUAGGUGUGGGGAACAUUCCACGUUUUCCGCGCCGUAGCUAACGCAUUAAGUGCCCCGCCUGGGGAGUACGGCCGCAAGGCUA